RNAcentral lists this ribosomal RNA (492 nucleotides) under uncultured bacterium. RNAcentral's name for it is "partial 16S ribosomal RNA". It matches the Rfam family "Bacterial small subunit ribosomal RNA", at positions 29 to 507 of the family's 1533-position model. The record is from RNAcentral.
AGUGAACGCUGGCGGUAGGCCUAACACAUGCAAGUCGAACGGCAGCACAGUAAGAGCUUGCUCUUACGGGUGGCGAGUGGCGGACGGGUGAGGCAUACAUCGGAAUCUACUUUUUCGUGGGGGAUAACGUAGGGAAACUUACGCUAAUACCGCAUACUACCUACGGGUGAAAGCAGGGGAUCUUCGGACCUUGCGCGAUUGAAUGAGCCGAUGUCGGAUUAGCUAGUUGGCGGGGUAAAGGCCCACCAAGGCGACGAUCCGUAGCUGGUCUGAGAGGAUGAUCAGCCACACUGGAACUGAGACACGGUCCAGACUCCUACGGGAGGCAGCAGUGGGGAAUAUUGGACAAUGGGCGCAAGCCUGAUCCAGCCAUACCGCGUGGGUGAAGAAGGCCUUCGGGUUGUAAAGCCCUUUUGUUGGGAAAGAAAAGCAGCAGGUUAAUACCCCGCUGUUCUGACGGUACCCAAAGAAUAAGCACCGGCUAACUUCGUG